RNAcentral lists this ribosomal RNA (657 nucleotides) under uncultured Candidatus Zhuqueibacterota bacterium. RNAcentral describes it as "bacterial SSU rRNA". It matches the Rfam family "Bacterial small subunit ribosomal RNA", at positions 41 to 700 of the family's 1533-position model. The record is from RNAcentral. Lineage: Bacteria; Pseudomonadati.
GGCAGGCCUAACACAUGCAAGUCGAACGAGAAGCUAGAGCUUGCUCUAGUGGAAAGUGGCAGACGGGUGAGUAACACGUGGGAAUCUACCCAGAGGUACGGAAUAAUGCAGGGAAACUUGUACUAAUACCGUAUGUGCCCCUUCGGGGGGAAAGCGUUAUGUAGCGCCUUUGGAUGAGCCCGCGCUGGAUUAGGUAGUUGGUGGGGUAAUGGCCUACCAAGCCUACGAUCUAUAGCUGGUUUGAGAGAGUGAUCAGCCACACUGGGACUGAGAUACGGCCCAGACUCCUACGGGAGGCAGCAGUGAGGAAUAUUGCGCAAUGGAGGAAACUCUGACGCAGCAACGCCGCGUGGGGGAUGAAGUUCUAUGGAGCGUAAACCCCUGUAAGUAGGGACGAACGGCAGGUAUUCGAAUAGGAUGCCUGUAUGACGGUACCUACAGAGUAAGCUCCGGCUAACUCCGUGCCAGCAGCCGCGGUAAUACGGGGGGAGCAAGCGUUGUCCGGAAUUACUGGGCGUAAAGGGCGUGUAGGCGGUCGUGCAAGUCGGUGGUGAAAGCCCUCGGCUCAACCGAGGAAUUGCCCCCGAAACUGCACGACUGGAGUCCCGGAGAGGGUAGUGGAAUUCCCAGUGUAGCGGUGAAAUGCGUAGAUAUUGG